GUGCCAGCAGCCGCGGUAAUACGUAGGUGGCAAGCGUUGUCCGGAAUUAUUGGGCGUAAAGGGCUCGCAGGCGGUUUCUUAAGUCUGAUGUGAAAGCCCCCGGCUCAACCGGGGAGGGUCAUUGGAAACUGGGGAACUUGAGUGCAGAAGAGGAGAGUGGAAUUCCACGUGUAGCGGUGAAAUGCGUAGAGAUGUGGAGGAACACCAGUGGCGAAGGCGACUCUCUGGUCUGUAACUGACGCUGAGGAGCGAAAGCGUGGGGAGCGAACAGGAUUAGAUACCCUGGUAGUCCACGCCGUAAACGAUGAGUGCUAAGUGUUAGGGGGUUUCCGCCCCUUAGUGCUGCAGCUAACGCAUUAAGCACUCCGCCUGGGGAGUACGGUCGCAAGACUGAAACUCAAAGGAAUUGACGGGGGCCCGCACAAGCGGUGGAGCAUGUGGUUUAAUUCGAAGCAACGCGAAGAACCUUACCAGGUCUUGACAUCCUCUGACAAUCCUAGAGAUAGGACGUCCCCUUCGGGGGCAGAGUGACAGGUGGUGCAUGGUUGUCGUCAGCUCGUGUCGUGAGAUGUUGGGUUAAGUCCCGCAACGAGCGCAACCCU
RNAcentral lists this ribosomal RNA (602 nucleotides) under Bacillus amyloliquefaciens. Its description in RNAcentral is "bacterial SSU rRNA". It matches the Rfam family "Bacterial small subunit ribosomal RNA", at positions 505 to 1105 of the family's 1533-position model. The record is from RNAcentral. Lineage: Bacteria; Bacillati; Bacillota; Bacilli; Caryophanales; Bacillaceae. RNAcentral also lists the same sequence under 2 other names.